Molecule: long non-coding RNA, 652 nt
Organism: Oryzias melastigma (Indian medaka)
Lineage: Eukaryota; Metazoa; Chordata; Actinopteri; Beloniformes; Adrianichthyidae
Exons: 2
Source: RefSeq, a predicted model, not a curated record
GUUCUGACGCACACACACUUAAUCACACAAUUAGUGCCAUCCCUGUGGCGCACUACUUUGGUUUCCACGGUAACACUCCCCAGCACUUAUGUCAUCGAGGCAAAACACAAAGAAAGAGAGACUGCGAUGUAUGAGAGGACCAGCGUUGUGAGCUCAUGUCUGAGAAAAGGAUGAACAAAAUGGAAUGAGAUGGGUGGAGGCUAACAAAGAGGAAAGGAGGAAAAAGAAAGGAGCAGAUUAAGGGGCAUGGAGGGAUGUGACAAUCCAAUCUCUCAGCCACUCAGGAUAAAUCCAGGCUUUCCAGUCGUGCAGUCAUUUUUAGAGGAAUCACACAAAGGUUUCUAUGUAUUAGAGAUGGGUUUCAUCUCACUUUGCUGUGCUCUCAUGCAAGCUAUAAUUCUCCUCAGCGAUGGUGCUAACUUAAGCAAUAACAUCUCAUCACACUCAAGCUUUAGGUGAUGAAAAUUUGGUUUUCCCUGACAGGAAAAGGAGUUGCGUCUAUAUUAGUUCAGCAAAAGUGUAUUAGGAUUUUUGUUGAGCUACAUGGAUGGGAAAUUUGGUGUUUGAACCUGAAUCUUAAAUCACAGCACUGAAUAAAGGUUGCAAGGAUGGACCAAAAAGGGCUCGUCUCUGCAGAGCGCCUGGCCUCUAA